This 24-nucleotide non-coding RNA is filed under the name Arabidopsis thaliana (thale cress). The record is from RNAcentral. Lineage: Eukaryota; Viridiplantae; Streptophyta; Magnoliopsida; Brassicales; Brassicaceae.
GAUACUUGGUGGCUCUGAAUAAUA